This 285-nucleotide unclassified non-coding RNA is filed under the name uncultured fungus. RNAcentral's name for it is "partial contains small subunit ribosomal RNA, internal transcribed spacer 1, and 5.8S ribosomal RNA". The stretch from base 1 to 73 matches the Rfam family "Eukaryotic small subunit ribosomal RNA", at positions 1759 to 1831 of the family's 1831-position model. The record is from RNAcentral. Lineage: Eukaryota; Fungi.
GCAAACUUGGUCAUUUAGAGGAAGUAAAAGUCGUAACAAGGUUUCCGUAGGUGAACCUGCGGAAGGAUCAUUAAUGAUUUUAAUGGAUGUGCUGGCUUUUUGAGCAUGUGCACUCCUAAUAAACCAUUAUCCACCUGUGCACACUUUGUAGGUUAGGGGCUUUUACCCUUUCCUAUGCUCUUUAUAAACAAUAUUGAUUUAACUUGAAUGGGUUUAUAAUACUUAAAUUAUAAAACAACUUUCAACAAUGGAUCUCUUGGUUCUCGCAUCGAUGAAGAACGCAGC